GGAAAGGCGCGCGAUACAGGGUGACAGCCCCGUACACAAAAAUGCACAUGCUGUGAGCUCGAUGAGUAGGGCGGGACACGUGGUAUCCUGUCUGAAUAUGGGGGGACCAUCCUCCAAGGCUAAAUACUCCUGACUGACCGAUAGUGAACCAGUACCGUGAGGGAAAGGCGAAAAGAACCCCGGCGAGGGGAGUGAAAAAGAACCUGAAACCGUGUACGUACAAGCAGUGGGAGCACGCUUAGGCGUGUGACUGCGUACCUUUUGUAUAAUGGGUCAGCGACUUAUAUUCUGUAGCAAGGUUAACCGAAUAGGGGAGCCGAAGGGAAACCGAGUCUUAACUGGGCGUUAAGUUGCAGGGUAUAGACCCGAAACCCGGUGAUCUAGCCAUGGGCAGGUUGAAGGUUGGGUAACACUAACUGGAGGACCGAACCGACUAAUGUUGAAAAAUUAGCGGAUGACUUGUGGCUGGGGGUGAAAGGCCAAUCAAACCGGGAGAUAGCUGGUUCUCCCCGAAAGCUAUUUAGGUAGCGCCUCGUGAAUUCAUCUCCGGGGGUAGAGCACUGUUUCGGCAAGGGGGUCAUCCCGACUUACCAACCCGAUGCAAACUGCGAAUACCGGAGAAUGUUAUCACGGGAGACACACGGCGGGUGCUAACGUCCGUCGUGAAGAGGGAAACAACCCAGACCGCCAGCUAAGGUCCCAAAGUCAUGGUUAAGUGGGAAACGAUGUGGGAAGGCCCAGACAGCCAGGAUGUUGGCUUAGAAGCAGCCAUCAUUUAAAGAAAGCGUAAUAGCUCACUGGUCGAGUCGGCCUGCGCGGAAGAUGUAACGGGGCUAAACCAUGCACCGAAGCUGCGGCAGCGACGCUUAUGCGUUGUUGGGUAGGGGAGCGUUCUGUAAGCCUGUGAAGGUGUGCUGUGAGGCAUGCUGGAGGUAUCAGAAGUGCGAAUGCUGACAUAAGUAACGAUAAAGCGGGUGAAAAGCCCGCUCGCCGGAAGACCAAGGGUUCCUGUCCAACGUUAAUCGGGGCAGGGUGAGUCGACCCCUAAGGCGAGGCCGAAAGGCGUAGUCGAUGGGAAACAGGUUAAUAUUCCUGUACUUGGUGUUACUGCGAAGGGGGGACGGAGAAGGCUAUGUUGGCCGGGCGACGGUUGUCCCGGUUUAAGCGUGUAGGCUGGUUUUCCAGGCAAAUCCGGAAAAUCAAGGCUGAGGCGUGAUGACGAGGCACUACGGUGCUGAAGCAACAAAUGCCCUGCUUCCAGGAAAAGCCUCUAAGCAUCAGGUAACAUCAAAUCGUACCCCAAACCGACACAGGUGGUCAGGUAGAGAAUACCAAGGCGCUUGAGAGAACUCGGGUGAAGGAACUAGGCAAAAUGGUGCCGUAACUUCGGGAGAAGGCACGCUGAUAUGUAGGUGAAGUCCCUCGCGGAUGGAGCUGAAAUCAGUCGAAGAUACCAGCUGGCUGCAACUGUUUAUUAAAAACACAGCACUGUGCAAACACGAAAGUGGACGUAUACGGUGUGACGCCUGCCCGGUGCCGGAAGGUUAAUUGAUGGGGUCAGCGCAAGCGAAGCUCUUGAUCGAAGCCCCGGUAAACGGCGGCCGUAACUAUAACGGUCCUAAGGUAGCGAAAUUCCUUGUCGGGUAAGUUCCGACCUGCACGAAUGGCGUAAUGAUGGCCAGGCUGUCUCCACCCGAGACUCAGUGAAAUUGAACUCGCUGUGAAGAUGCAGUGUACCCGCGGCAAGACGGAAAGACCCCGUGAACCUUUACUAUAGCUUGACACUGAACAUUGAGCCUUGAUG
Molecule: ribosomal RNA, 1804 nt
Filed under: Escherichia coli
Lineage: Bacteria; Pseudomonadati; Pseudomonadota; Gammaproteobacteria; Enterobacterales; Enterobacteriaceae
Description: partial 23S ribosomal RNA
Rfam family: Bacterial large subunit ribosomal RNA
Source: RNAcentral